This 407-nucleotide ribosomal RNA is filed under the name uncultured bacterium. RNAcentral's name for it is "partial 16S ribosomal RNA". It matches the Rfam family "Bacterial small subunit ribosomal RNA", at positions 28 to 526 of the family's 1533-position model. The record is from RNAcentral.
GACGAACGCUGGCGGCGUGCCUAAUACAUGCAAGUAGAACGCAGUUGCGAACGGGUGAGUAACGCGUAGGUAACUGCCUCAUAGCGGGGGAUAACUUUUUGAAACGAUAGCUAAUACCGCCUUCUGUGAGAUGGACCUGCUUUGUAUUAGCUAGUUGGUGAGGUAAAGGCGCACCAAGGCCACGAUCCAUAGCCGACCUGAGAGGGGGGUCGGCCAAAAUGGGACCGAGACACGGGCCAGACUCCCACGGGAGGCAGCAGUAGGGAAUCUUCGGACAUGGGCGGAAGUCUGAACGAGGCAAGCCGCGGGAGUGGAGAAGGUUCUCGGAGCGUAAAGCUACGUUGUUAGAGAAGCGGUAACUAAACAAUAAGGGACGGCUAACUACGUGCCAGCAGCCGCGGUAAUAC